RNAcentral lists this ribosomal RNA (793 nucleotides) under uncultured bacterium. RNAcentral's name for it is "bacterial SSU rRNA". It matches the Rfam family "Bacterial small subunit ribosomal RNA", at positions 8 to 796 of the family's 1533-position model. The record is from RNAcentral.
AGAGUUUGAUCCUGGCUCAGAGCGAACGUUNNGCGGCGUGCUUAACACAUGCAAGUCGAACGCGCAGCAUUCUGUAGCAAUACAGGGUGUGGGCGCGUGGCGAACGGGUGCGUAACACGUGGAUAACCUUCCUUCAGGUGGGGAAUAACCCCGCGAAAGCGGGGCUAAUACCGCAUAACAUGACGAGGGCACAUGCUUUUGUCUUCAAAGGCGCAAGUCGCCAGAAGAGGGAUCCGCGGCCGAUUAGCUUGUUGGCGAGGUAAUGGCUCACCAAGGCUUUGAUCGGUAGCCGGACUGAGAGGUUGGCCGGCCACACUGGAACUGAGACACGGUCCAGACUCCUACGGGAGGCAGCAGUGGGGAAUCUUGCACAAUGGGCGAAAGCCUGAUGCAGCAACGCCGCGUGGGGGAUGAAGCUUCUCGGAGUGUAAACCCCUUUCGACCCGGACGAAUGCCCGCAAGGGCUUGACGGUACGGGUAUAAGAAGCCCCGGCUAACUACGUGCCAGCAGCCGCGGUAAUACGUAGGGGGCCAGCGUUGCUCGGAAUUACUGGGCGUAAAGGGUCCGUAGGCGGUGCGGCAAGUCGGAUGUGAAAUCUCUGGGCUUAACCCAGAGGCUGCUUCCGAAACUGCCGCGCUAGAGGAUGAGAGAGGCGAGUGGAAUUGCGGGUGUAGCGGUGAAAUGCGUAGAUAUCCGCAGGAACAUCCGAGGCGAAGGCGGCUCGCUGGAUCAUUUCUGACGCUGAGGGACGAAAGCUAGGGGAGCAAACAGGAUUAGAUACCCUAGUAGUCC